AGAGUUUGAUCAUGGCUCAGGAUGAACGCUGGCGGCAGGCUUAAUACAUGCAAGUCGAACGGUAAGGCCGAGUGCAGCAAUGCAUGAGGUACACGAGUGGCGCACGGGUGCGUAACGCGUAUGCAACCUGCCCCCAACCGGGACAAAACAGCUGGAAACGGCUGCUAAUAUCCCAUGGCCACGCGGGAGGGCAUCCUCCUGUGUGUAAAGAUUCAUUGGUUGGGGAUGGGCAUGCGUAUUAUUAGGUAGUUGGCGGGGUAACGGCCCACCAAGCCGACGAUGAUUAGGGGUCCUGAGAGGGUUGACCCCCACACUGGAACUGAGACACGGUCCAGACUCCUACGGGAGGCAGCAGUAGGGAAUAUUGGGCAAUGGGAGCAAUCCUGACCCAGCCAUGCCGCGUGAAGGAAGACGGCCCUAUGGGUUGUAAACUUCUUUUGCCGCAGAGUAAACCCGGGGACGUGUCCCCGGUUGAGAGUAUGCGGCGAAUAAGUAUCGGCUAACUCCGUGCCAGCAGCCGCGGUAAUACGGAGGAUACAAGCGUUAUCCGGAUUUAUUGGGUUUAAAGGGUGCGCAGGCGGACCGUUAAGUCAGGGGUGAAAAGUUGGGGCUCAACUCCAAUCGUGCCUUUGAUACUGGCGGACUAGAGUGCGAUAGGCGUGGCCGGAAUGUGGCGUGUAGCGGUGAAAUGCUUAGAUAUGCCACAGAACACCGAUCGAGAAGUCAGGUCACGAGUUCGCAACUGACGCUCAUGCACGAAAGCGUGGGGAUCAAACAGGAUUAGAUACCCUGGUAGUCCACGCCGUAAACGAUGAUCACUCGUUGUCGGGGGGCGACCCUCGGUGGCCAAGCGAAAGCGAUAAGUGAUCCACCUGGGGAGUACGAUCGCAAGGUUGAAACUCAAAGGAAUUGACGGGGGCCCGCACAAGCGGAGGAGCAUGUGGUUUAAUUCGAUGAUACGCGAGGAACCUUACCCGGGCUUGAACGUAAGACGACGGCGCAGGAGACUGCGCUUCCUUAGGGC
This 1024-nucleotide ribosomal RNA is filed under the name uncultured rumen bacterium. Its description in RNAcentral is "bacterial SSU rRNA". It matches the Rfam family "Bacterial small subunit ribosomal RNA", at positions 8 to 1027 of the family's 1533-position model. The record is from RNAcentral.